UUAAACAUUUCUUUGCAAACACUCUCUUUGGAAAUGUAUGAAAGAUAUUUUGGAGCCCUUGAGGCCUAUAGUGAUAAAUUGUAUAUCCUGUGAUUAAAAAGUAGAAUGAAAUGAAUUGUGAAAUGCUUUGCCAUGGGUGGAUUUGUCUCAUGGAGGUAAACCUUUCUUUCGAUUCAGUAGGUAGGAAACAUUCUUUUUGUAGAAUGUGCAAAGGGACAUUUUGGGAGCCCACUGAGGCCCAUAGUGAAAAACCUAAUAUCCCGUGAUAAAAACCAGAAAAAAGCUGUGUGUAAAAACGCUUUGCCAUGUGAGGAUACAUCUCAAAGAGUUAAACCUUUGCUCUGAUUCUGCAGGUUGGAAACACUCUCUUGGUAGAAUAUGAGAAGGGACAUUUGAGAGCCCAUGGAGCCCUGUAGGGAAAACUGAAUAUUUCCCCCUUGGCCAAAAAAAAACAAAAACAAAAACAAAAACAAAAACAAAAACAAAAAAACAAAAAACAGCAACAAAAAACCCUCAAAGCUAUUUGAGGACAUGCUUUGUGAUGUGUGGAUUCAUCUCGCAGAAGUAAACCUUAAUUUUGAUUCAGCAGGUUGGAAACACUCUUGUUGUAGAAUGUGUACAGGGAUAUUUGGAAGCUCUUAGAGGCACACAUGGAAAAACCGAGUAUCCCGCAAUAAAAACUAGAAAGAAUAUAUCUGUGAAAAUGCUUUGCCAUGUGUGGAUAAAUCAAAUCUAGAUAAACCUUUCUUUACAUUCAGCAUGUUGGAAACACUCUUCUUAUAGAAUCUGUGAACGGACAUUUUGGGGUCCAUUGAUGCCUAUACUGAAAAACUGACUAUUCUG
This 843-nucleotide long non-coding RNA is filed under the name Homo sapiens (human). RNAcentral describes it as "HSALNT0072075". Lineage: Eukaryota; Metazoa; Chordata; Mammalia; Primates; Hominidae. The record is from RNAcentral.